RNAcentral lists this ribosomal RNA (497 nucleotides) under uncultured bacterium. RNAcentral describes it as "partial 16S ribosomal RNA". It matches the Rfam family "Bacterial small subunit ribosomal RNA", at positions 28 to 507 of the family's 1533-position model. The record is from RNAcentral.
GAUGAACGCUGGCGGCGUGCCUAAUACAUGCAAGUCGAGCGAACGGACGAGAAGCUUGCUCCUCUGAUGUUAGCGGCGGACGGGUGAGUAACACGUGGAUAACCUACCUAUAAGACUGGGAUAACUUCGGGAAACCGGAGCUAAUACCGGAUAAUAUUUUGAACCGCAUGGUUCAAAAGUGAAAGACGGUUUUGCUGUCACUUAUAGAUGGAUCCGCGCUGCAUUAGCUAGUUGGUAAGGUAACGGCUUACCAAGGCAACGAUGCGUAGCCGACCUGAGAGGGUGAUCGGCCACACUGGAACUGAGACACGGUCCAGACUCCUACGGGAGGCAGCAGUAGGGAAUCUUCCGCAAUGGGCGAAAGCCUGACGGAGCAACGCCGCGUGAGUGAUGAAGGUCUUCGGAUCGUAAAACUCUGUUAUUAGGGAAGAACAAAUGUGUAAGUAACUGUGCACGUCUUGACGGUACCUAAUCAGAAAGCCACGGCUAACUACGUG